RNAcentral lists this ribosomal RNA (517 nucleotides) under uncultured Staphylococcus sp. RNAcentral's name for it is "bacterial SSU rRNA". It matches the Rfam family "Bacterial small subunit ribosomal RNA", at positions 8 to 507 of the family's 1533-position model. The record is from RNAcentral. Lineage: Bacteria; Bacillati; Bacillota; Bacilli; Caryophanales; Staphylococcaceae.
AGAGUUUGAUCCUGGCUCAGGAUGAACGCUGGCGGCGUGCCUAAUACAUGCAAGUCGAGCGAACAGAUAAGGAGCUUGCUCCUUUGACGUUAGCGGCGGACGGGUGAGUAACACGUGGGUAACCUACCUAUAAGACUGGAAUAACUCCGGGAAACCGGGGCUAAUGCCGGAUAAUAUUUAGAACCGCAUGGUUCUAAAGUGAAAGAUGGUUUUACUAUCACUUAUAGAUGGACCCGCGCCGUAUUAGCUAGUUGGUGGGGUAAUGGCUUACCAAGGCAACGAUACGUAGCCGACCUGAGAGGGUGAUCGGCCACACUGGAACUGAGACACGGUCCAGACUCCUACGGGAGGCAGCAGUAGGGAAUCUUCCGCAAUGGGCGAAAGCCUGACGGAGCAACGCCGCGUGAGUGAUGAAGGUCUUCGGAUCGUAAAACUCUGUUAUUAGGGAAGAACAAAUGUGUAAGUAACUGUGCACGUCUUGACGGUACCUAAUCAGAAAGCCACGGCUAACUACGUG